This 158-nucleotide small nuclear RNA is filed under the name Triticum aestivum (bread wheat). RNAcentral's name for it is "snRNA U1". It matches the Rfam family "U1 spliceosomal RNA". From Rfam's summary of the family: U1 is a small nuclear RNA (snRNA) component of the spliceosome (involved in pre-mRNA splicing). Its 5' end forms complementary base pairs with the 5' splice junction, thus defining the 5' donor site of an intron. There are significant differences in sequence and secondary structure between metazoan and yeast U1 snRNAs, the latter being much longer (568 nucleotides as compared to 164 nucleotides in human). Lineage: Eukaryota; Viridiplantae; Streptophyta; Magnoliopsida; Poales; Poaceae. The record is from RNAcentral. RNAcentral also lists the same sequence under 1 other name.
AUACUUACCUGGACGGGGUCUAUGGAUGAUCAAGAAGGCUCAUGGCCUAGAUCAAUGGUUCAUAUUGCACGUAGUGAGUGCGUUGAUCUACCAUCUUCUUUGGGAGAGUGGACGUUAUAAUUUAUGAUAGAGGGGGUACGCGUCCGCGCGGCCCCUAC